UAGGGCUCCACCUGUGGGAUAAUCAACCAAUAGUGGCAGUGCUUUGCCGUCCUCACAACUCUGUUUCCGAUGCAAGGAUAGCCAGCCUUUGUGUACAUCCCUUAAAGGGAAACUUCACCACUAGAGACUUUUUGGGGUGUUUUUCCAGAGUGAUGAGAGGGUGAUUCAGACAAUUAUGUCAUUGGUUGAUUGAGCCUGCUGUCUGAUCAAAAAAUUUAUGGAGUUACGUUUCUAAGCAAUUAUUGUGGCCUUUGUGUUUCGCCGACUGCACGAUCACGCGAGUAGAUAUGGUUGUCCUUGUUCAAUAGAGCCAUUGGACUUUUCUCAACGAUGUUCCUAUCUGCCAGGACAUUGCAGGAUAUCAAGAUUGACUCAUUUUACCUGGUUUUGUAUAGACUAUAGCCUGACGGGAGCCAUACUUCCUUGUUCCCACCCUCGAAGACAAGAAAUAUAAUUGAUGACUCAAGACAAGAUGUGAAAGGUCCCAUAACAGCAAACUCCCAUUGUAUCAAAGUGACUCCGAACACCUCACUGCACCACCCAAACACACCAUAUACUAAUCUCAUCUGAGAUUUCCACCUUCGCCGUCCAGACCGGCCCGCUCUUCGCCCUCGGGGCCGGUGUCGUCCUGCGGCUGGGGCCGCACGUCGGAGGGGGGAGGUCAUCACUUCCCUGAUUACUCCCCGUUCAUCUAGCACUCCGAGGAGGAGCUCCCUGCGUCUCCGUUACAAUUCUAUAUUAUACUACAACAUCAGUCUAACAGAAUAUGGAUGUUGUGUUGGUUGAAUGUUCCAGGCAAGUUCCAGAAUGUUCUUCAGCUGGUGAACCUCUCCUUGUUUUGGGUAAUGGCAGCUGGUUUAGCAAGCUUUGGUGCUGUGGCGAUGUUGGCAGUGAUGUUAGGUUUGGGGGGGAUGUGACUCUGGCUCCUUGUAGACAACAGUCUGGUCCUUUCUGCACUCCACAGCCAAGUAGAAAAGCCUCUCUUUCUUCACCACCCGCUGCUUCAACCUCAUGCAGAAGAUUUGUUUGUUCUAUAAUUCUCCUGGAAAGACAUGAAGACUGACCAUGAGGAUGUGUAAAACAUGAAGACCGAUCAUGAGGAUGUGUAAC
RNAcentral lists this long non-coding RNA (1110 nucleotides) under Salmo salar (Atlantic salmon). RNAcentral's name for it is "lncRNA (ENSSSAG00000105835.1)". The record is from RNAcentral. Lineage: Eukaryota; Metazoa; Chordata; Actinopteri; Salmoniformes; Salmonidae.